This is a long non-coding RNA of Oryzias melastigma (Indian medaka), 468 nucleotides long. RefSeq lists it as uncharacterized. The transcript has 2 exons. The record is from RefSeq and is a predicted model, not a curated record. NCBI's taxonomy places the organism in Eukaryota, Metazoa, Chordata, Actinopteri, Beloniformes, Adrianichthyidae.
CUCUAAUAAACCCCUUUAAUGCCUGGUGCUUAAAGUUUUUAUUUCAUCAAUGGCUGCAUAUUUGAUCCAUGACAACUCUGAGGGGAGUGAAUUUUUUUCUAAGUUUGUAAUUUUUUUUAAAAAACGGCAUUUAUUUUCGCUUAAUGAGGAGGCGCGGCCUUUGAUUGACAAGUGACGAUCGCGGUGGAUUCUGGGAGCAAUGCUCCGGUGUUUAGCUGGUCUGCUACAGAUUUAGCGUUAGCAUGAGCGCUAUAUUUCGGUUUUUGUCCUGCUGCCGUGAUGUAAACUGUUCUAAUACGCUCUCUGGGAGUCAUCUGGUGUCUUUUCCCUGGUCUGCUUCUGGUGGUGAGCGGAUUCAUAAUCCAAAAUAAUCGAGCAUUUACAUUUAAAGGCAGUAAAAUUCUAAUUUUAACAUAUGAAGAUGACUCCUGCUGAUGUGUGAUUCAAUAAAAAUCAUGUUUAACAUAU